GCUUGGGCGCCUGCGCGGAGCUGGUAACCCGGAAGUGCUCCAGCGGGUGCCCUGUCUGCGCUCGCGGUGGGGCCCUGCAGGCUGUGAGCCCCUCGGCCGCGCCGCCUCCCGCCCCCGCCAUGUCCCGAGGCUCCAGCGCCGGCUUCGACCGCCACAUCACCAUCUUCUCGCCCGAGGGCCGCCUCUACCAAGUCGAAUAUGCUUUUAAGGCCAUAAACCAAGGUGGACUUACGUCUGUAGCUGUUCGUGGGAAAGAUUCCGCAGUAAUUGUAACACAGAAGAAAGUACCUGACAAGUUACUGGAUUCUAACACAGUGACUCAUUUAUUCAGAAUUACUGAAAAUAUUGGCUGUGUGAUGACAGGAAUGACAGCUGACAGCAGAUCCCAGGUGCAGAGAGCCCGCUAUGAGGCUGCUAACUGGAAGUACAAGUAUGGCUAUGACAUCCCUGUGGAUAUGCUGUGUAAAAGGAUUGCAGAUAUUUCUCAGGUCUAUACGCAAAAUGCUGAAAUGAGGCCUCUUGGUUGCUGUAUGAUUUUGAUUGGUAUCGAUGAAGAACACGGCCCUCAGGUAUACAAGUGUGAUCCGGCAGGUUACUAUUGUGGAUUCAAGGCCACAGCUGCAGGAGUUAAACAGACAGAGUCAACCAGUUUUCUUGAAAAGAAAGUAAAGAAGAAAUUUGAUUGGACAUACGAACAAACAGUAGAGGUAGGCCAGCAGAAGGAAAUAAAGAUUUGUUAAAGUAUUUUUAAUGAAUAUGCUGUAUGUAGGCUUGUGAUAUAGAGGAAUGCAGUUAUCUUCAUGUUAGAAAGCAUUUCAAAGAGGAUGGGGUAGUGCUUGUCUGUCAGUUUAGUAAAUAUAACACCAGUUGUUAUGCCUACUGUGAAAACUGUUGUUCAAGGCCCAUUAUAAAAAUGUAUCCUGCUUAUAACAUAGGUCAAUGAACUUAUUUUAUAAAUCAGCCUUACUUUUUCACUUACACUGUAGAGAUCUGUCUAAACAGUCCUUUUCCAUGGCCCACCUGUUUUUCCUGCCAGGCCUUGUUCUUCUCUCAUAAUAUUAUAUUUCCUGCAUCACAAGAUCAGCAGUUGAAAUGAGGAGUAAUAACCUAAGUAACUGACUCUCUUGUAAGAUUAAACAGAGUAUUGUAUUAAGAUCCCUGUGAGUGCUAUGCAGAUUCAGACCUUCAGCUAAAUUACUUCUGAAGUCUACAUUACUGUGAAAGUACCAUUUAAAUGGAAAGUUCCUCAGCAUAAACUCAUAAGUUUUAUAUGUACAUCUUACUAAGUACUGAUUUCCUUAAUUUGUGAUUUCUUUAAAGAGAAGAUCCUGAGAGAGUUAUGUAAUCAUAGCAUACUGAAAUUGAAUAUAUUUGAAAUUACCUCAGAGACCUUUUUUAUCCUGGCUAAAUGUUUUUCACAUUAAAUAUAUUUUUCUGUCACUGCUUGAUUAUACUGUGCAUGUUUCUUAGUUGAGCGGUUGGAGGUAGAUGAAACAGUCUUUUCAUAUUCUUGUUUUUAAUUCAUAAAACUUCCAUGGUAUGGUGCAAAUACUUAAUUGGAAGUUAAUCUGCCAGUCAAAUCCUGGGUGCGCUUCUAUACCUUUUGUUAUCUUUGUAAGAAUGCUGAUAUUGUGAAUGUAGAUCAGACACUGUUACUCUAAAAGUUGGCAGUGACAGGGAGAAGCAAGUCUGUCAAGCAAAAACAAGAAUCACAUUUUUGUAAUGUUCUUCACGCACGCACUGUCUUUUGUUUCCAAGCUUGUGUUGCGUUAGAGGUAAUGCUCCAAGGAUAAGAAUUUUGUUUGGGGUUUUUUGUGGGUUUUUUUGUUUGAGGGGUUUUUGUUUUUUCUAACAACUUUGCAGUCUUCUGGUAAGACAUCUAUAUAGUUUUACAGAAUUAUUGCAGAAUCAAUGUAUUAUCAACAUAUUGAAAAUAAACUUUGAAAAGUCUUGUCUAGUGUUCUACACUUCCUCACACAUUACUGAUCAGAAUUAAAUGCCAGCAUGUCAGAAUAACUGAUAUGAUAAGCAUCUAGCUACAUAGCUGUUUUAUGGAACUUCUUUUUGUGCUCAAUCAUCAUUUUAGGAAUACAUCUUUAGCAUUAUUAUGACCCUACUGCAGGGUUAAGUAUGAGUGAGGUUGGAACACCUUUUAAAACAGGUGAUGAUUAGGGUGGAAAAAAACCAAGUUAAGCCAUGAUGAAAUGCAGCUUUUAAAAACAGAACAUAAUUUUAAUUAACAGAAAAAAAGCCAAAAUGGAAGCUAUGCAAGUGACAUGUGCUUUGAGUAAUCUUGAACUGUAAUGAUUAUGUCUGUCUUGUUUGCCACUAAUGAAAUGUGUUCUGUCCUUGGGACCUGGGGUUUUAAUCUUUGCAUGAUAAAAGGUUUUUGGUUUUGUUGUGGGUUUUUUCUGCUAUGAAAAUGGUAUGUCCCUUUGGUUUUUUUAGAUUGGGCUUUUUAGUGAGAGCACUGGAGAGGGACUGUGUUCUGUAACAAGGGGAAACUAUUUGAAACUUUUCAGCUGAGGUGUUGAGGUGGAAGAAAAUAACUUAAAACUAGAAGGAGGGGUAGUUGUUAAUGCUAUGUCUAUU
Aquila chrysaetos chrysaetos is the source of this 2592-nucleotide RNA transcript. It is a transcript of the gene named proteasome 20S subunit alpha 6, with no coding region annotated. The record is from RefSeq and is a predicted model, not a curated record. The transcript is spliced from 6 exons. NCBI's taxonomy places the organism in Eukaryota, Metazoa, Chordata, Aves, Accipitriformes, Accipitridae.